Long non-coding RNA from Nycticebus coucang (slow loris), 3501 nucleotides. RefSeq lists it as uncharacterized. The record is from RefSeq and is a predicted model, not a curated record. Lineage: Eukaryota; Metazoa; Chordata; Mammalia; Primates; Lorisidae. The transcript is spliced from 4 exons.
UCCAUUGUGUAAUCUUAACAGGACGAUAGUUGUAUUUUUAGUCAGUUGUUGACUAUAUGUUAGAAACCCUGAAUUGUACACUUAAAAUGGGUGAACUGCGUGUUACAUGAAUUGUAUCUCCAUAAAGCUGUCAAAAAAGAGGUCUGAGAAUCCCAUAAAAUGUUUCAUUUGUUGGGGGAAUGGCUUUUAAAAUAUAUUUUAAGAUAAUUCAGAUAGUAUCCUAUGUUUCACUUAAAUCAGUAAUGACUUAUUUAUGACUUUGCUUAUUACCUGAUUAUCUGUCCUGAGAUAUUUUACUGGAGUCUGACACAAUUUCAAUUUGGAAUAUAUGUCUUAGUUGAGGAUUGGGCCUAACAUUGACUCCCUGCAGCUCCCGCUAAGCUGACAGCCUGGCUGGCUACCUGGGCCCACCUCGUGCAGUUCCCUGGUCUUUACAGACUCUUGUUUUACCUUGAGUCUUCUGGCUGAAAGCUUUUUCCCUCUGAAAUCCACGAAAUUAGAUCUUCAUUCAAAAGUCUUAAAGAAAAUAAUUGAGUUAUUUGUCAAUUUGGAAGCUAGUCUUUCAUUUAAAUAAUGAAUAGAUUUUCCUUCUAAGAAAACUACAGGGCAGAAAUAUCCAGAGCUGCUCUUCAUGUUGCUCAGGACAUGGAACUGUGGGACCGUAAGGAUUCAGAAGGAUCUGUGCAACAGUUGAGGUGAAGGGUAAGGACAUCACCAGGUAGUGGAAAGCUAAGACUAAGCCUCCUGACUCAUGGUUGCUGCCAUGUCCUACACUUCCUGCUAUCCACGCACGCUGAAAAGAGCAAGACACUCCAAAACACGCAUCUCCCCUGUCUCCCCAAAUCCAAAUCCAAUGAUCUAUCUCUAAAACCAAGUUGUAAUUGUUUCUGAAACACAAAGUAGGGGCAGUCCCAUCCCAUUACCAGAGGAAAGGUGACCCUCUCAGCAGGAAGCUGGCUGAUCCGGGAGGUGGAUGGAGCCCAGAUCACUCCUUGGGGACCAGCACAUAAGCUCUGCUGUCACAGGCGACAGAACCUAAAAAGCACUUCUCUCCCUAACAUACCCUAAUUGCUGCUUCCCACUAGCCUCCGGCACUCACUCCAUGCCAAGCUCUGGCUCCUAUCCAGCUGCUCUUCAAGCUAAGAGCCAAAUCCCAUACUCACUUGUCCUAGGAACUGGUCCAGAAUGACCUUAGUAGGAAGCUAAGAGGAGCUCUAUAUCAAGGCCUGGGAAGGCUGGCUGCCCAGACUCUGGCUGCCUGGGUGGGCGGUCUGGACCCGUCUCUGCAGAGACCUGCCCCAGCUCAGGAGGAACAAUUAAGGAAAAGGCAAAGUUAGUAGUGGUGCUGAGGUGCUGCUGGGGGCAGGUCUGUUUGCUCUGGCCAACCUCUCUUUCUUUCUGGGACUGGGAGGAGGAAUUUGAUGCCACCAGUAUCUGAGGGACAUGUACCUCAUUCAUCAGGAACAAACUCCUGGGACUUGGGAACCACACAAGGUCUCCUAAGGCCCGAGACUGUCUGCAUGCCAGCAGUUGAGGCUGGAACUUAGACAGCGUGAGCACGUGCAGAGUCUUCUUAACUCCUGGGCUCAAGCCAUCCUCCUGCCUCAGCCUCCUAAGUAGCUGGGACUGCCAGAAAACACGAAGCUCUCCCCAGAUGGUGAAAUUCCAAGCUCAUGGUGAUAAACAGCAGGAAGAACUUCACCAAGCUGGGGUGAGUGAUGAAAAGGGGUUUGCCGUAAGGGGUGAGGUGGUCUGCACGAUGAAAUAUCCAUGACAAUGAUAAAACACCUUCUGGAGAAGCCAUUGCCUCUGCUUCAGUUCUCGGUUGUCCCUAAGCAGUUGUGGGGACAAGACUAUUAAGGGAUCUUAAGUAGUACUUUGAAAUGAGAACUUAACACAGUUGUGGUUUCCAGAAAGACUAAGUUGUUGCCUGUCCAGUGGAGUCAAACUAAAGAACAUUUUCCUUCCCUUGUAUAAAAGUGUUGUUUGUAUACUCCUGGAAUAUUUUUUUUUCACUAUGUUACCCUUAGUAGAGUGCCGUAGCAUCACAGCUCACAGCAACCUCAAACUCUUGGGCUUAAGUGAUUCUCUUGCCUCAGCCUCCUAAGUAACUGGGGACUAAGAUAUAAGCCACAAUGCCCGGCGAUUUUUUUGUUGCAGUUGUCAUUGUUGUUUAGCAUGCCUGGGCUGAGUUGAAACCCACCAGCCCCAGUGUACGUGGCCCUAACCACUGAGCUCGGACGCUGAGCCUACUCCUGGAACAUUAAAGAAUACAAAGCUGGGAGAGGUGAUAAGAAGUGAAAUCAGCAAGGGAUGGUGGACGCCUUGGAGUUAGGGACAAGCAAAAAAACCUAUCCUCCCCCUGACCCUGGGAAAAGAACAAAGCUUAGAAGCUCAUGAAAAUUGCCUUUUGGGUCCAAUUUCUUUCAUACUUAAAUGAGAUGGCAUUUUUGAGGCUUAAGAAAUGUAUUUAGGGAUACUUUAACAGGCAUCCGUGGCAAAAGUUAGAUGACCUGGCCAGGCACGGUGGCUUAUACCUAUAAUCCUAGCAUUCUGGGAGGUGGGAGUAUCCCUUGAGCUCAGCAGUUCCAGACCAGCCUAAACAAGAGCAAAACUCCAUCUUUACUAAAAAUAGAAAAACUAACAGAGCAUUGUGGUGGACACCUGUAGUCCCAGCUACUCAGGAGGCUGAGGCAAGAAGAUUGCUUGAGCCCAGCAGUUUGAGAUUGCUGUGAGUUAUGGUGCCAGAGGCAGCAGAGUGAGACUCUGUCUCAAAAAAAAAAAGUUAGAUGACCUAGGAGUGUUCUGGAAUGGAUUUUUCUGGCUCAGGUUAACCGGUAGCACACCCUUGGGGACUUCUUGGGUCUGCUCCCUUCCCGACCCUCCAAAGAAGCCACGUGCCUCAGAGACAGACCCCUGAGCUCAUCCCUACUUCUGGGAAGACCUGAAGUCCCCCAAAUUUCUACCAACUGAACAGGAAGCAAACAGCUUGUGGGUCCCAUGGGUGUACUAGUGGGGUGCACAAAAUGGGAAUAUCAGAACUUCUCUUUCUGUUUCCUUUUUUAUUUGUCUGUAAUGAGAUUAAAGUAAGCUUUAUUUUUAUUUACUACACAGACUGACCUUGCACCCCUCUGUUGUGUGGCAUUCUGAGGAGGAGGGAGAGGUUCCCUUCACGGGGAGGAAGGAGCGUUUAGUGUACCCUUCCCUGGUUUGUUUCCUUUGGCAGUUUUGAUUUAUCUCAGUAUAUAUUUACACCUACAUGGCUAAACAGACUCACUGAUUCUAUUAUGAAGUUUCACCUACACUAACCCUUGCAAAAUGGACCACCAAUUUGAAAGUUUCCUGCCAAGAAACAAAACCGGAGAACUGAAGACAAUACAGUUAAUCACACAAGCACAAAUGAACAACCAGAAAAAGGCAGAGUGGACGAUUUUCUCGUGCCAAGAGCUUUUCUGCAGCCAAACUCUUAAGGUAAAAGUAAUGAUCUAAUUAGAUCUGACA